GUUUCGCCGCGGGCUGGGAGACCGGUACCAAGGCGAGGCAAACUCUGAAUACGGCUAAAAAAACUACCAGUGAGACGGUGGGGGAUAAGCUUCAUCGUCAAGAGGGAAACAGCCCAGACCACCAGCUAAGGUCCCCAAAUGAUAACUAAGUGAGAAAGGAGGUGGGAGUGCAUUGACAACCAGGAGGUUUGCCUAGAAGCAGCAACCCUUAAAAGAGUGCGUAAUAGCUCACUGGUCAAGCGCUCCUGCGCCGAAAAUGAACGGGGCUAAGUUAUCUACCGAAGCUGUGGACUACAUUGUAGUGGUAGGGGAGCGUUCUAUAGGGGGUGAAGCAGUAGCGGCAAGCAGCUGUGGACUCUAUAGAAGUGAGAAUGUCGGCUUAAGUAGCGAAAAUGUGGGUGAGAAUCCCACACCCCGAAACCCCAAGGUUUCCUCCGCAAGGCUCGUCCGCGGAGGGUCAGUCAGGACCUAAGGCGAGGCUGAAAAGCGUAGUCGAUGGACAACGGGUUAACAUUCCCGUACCGAUUAAUGAUUGUGCCGGAGAACGGAGAAGGUCAACGUCAGCUGGAUGUUGGUUACCAGUGCAAGCAGUCGAGGCGAUGAGAGGUGGCGAAAACACCAGGAGCUAAGACGCGAGUCCCACCUCCCACGGGAGGGAAGUGGCGCUGAUCAAGCUUCCUAGAAAAGCCCGAACCACGUUAAUCAUUAAUUGCCUGUACCCGAAACCGACACAGGUGGGGAAGUAGAGAAUACUAAGGGGCGCGAGAUAACUCUCUCUAAGGAACUCGGCAAAAUGACCCCGUA
Molecule: ribosomal RNA, 804 nt
Filed under: Microcystis aeruginosa UTEX LB 2063
Lineage: Bacteria; Bacillati; Cyanobacteriota; Cyanophyceae; Chroococcales; Microcystaceae
Description: bacterial LSU rRNA
Rfam family: Bacterial large subunit ribosomal RNA
Source: RNAcentral